This 377-nucleotide ribosomal RNA is filed under the name uncultured bacterium. RNAcentral describes it as "bacterial SSU rRNA". It matches the Rfam family "Bacterial small subunit ribosomal RNA", at positions 29 to 424 of the family's 1533-position model. The record is from RNAcentral.
AACGAACGCUGGCGGCAUGCCUAACACAUGCAAGUCGAACGGGAUCCGGACUUCGGUCCGGUGAGAGUGGCGGACGGGUGAGUAACACGUGGGAACCUGCCUUUUGGUUCGGGAUAACCGCGGGAAACUGCGGCUAAUACCGGAUACUCCCGAGAGGGGAAAGAUUUAUCGCCAGAAGAGGGGCCCGCGUCCGAUUAGGUAGUUGGUGGGGUAAUGGCCUACCAAGCCGACGAUCGGUAGCUGGUCUGAGAGGAUGAUCAGCCACACUGGGACUGAGAUACGGCCCAGACUCCUACGGGAGGCAGCAGUGGGGAAUCUUGCGCAAUGGACGAAAGUCUGACGCAGCGACGCCGCGUGAGUGAUGAAGGCCUCGGGUU